Gorilla gorilla gorilla (western lowland gorilla) is the source of this 1202-nucleotide long non-coding RNA. RefSeq lists it as uncharacterized. The record is from RefSeq and is a predicted model, not a curated record. Lineage: Eukaryota; Metazoa; Chordata; Mammalia; Primates; Hominidae. The transcript is spliced from 3 exons.
UGUGCUCCUAUGCAUCCUCAGAAAUCAGCAAAUGUCUUAUGAAACAACCUGAAAAUACAGAUGUCCUAGAAUGGAGGUGAAGAGAGCAUUUAGGAGGACAAUCUAGGAUGUAAUGAAGUUAUUCCAAGAGUUAGCACCUCUGUAUACUCAGGAUCUCUGUCCAGUGGAUCCCUUGCCAUUCUAAUCAGAGCAACAGCAACUACAGCAAGGCCAAACUGGCAGAAACCAAAGUCAAAAAGGACUGCCCUUCCUCCUUAGUCCUCUGUGUUCCUGGCUUUUCUUUGGCAGGAAUGCUUCAUAUAUUUCCUCAGGAGCCACGUACCUCUGAGCACAGGAGGUUUCCUGAAACCAGAGGUAGAAGGUUCCUGCUUUCAUACAGCAGACUCAUUUCCUCACUCAGGGAAUCAGGUGUUGCUUCACUCAUGUGGAAGUACAUGGCUUUUCUCUUCCUGUUCCAGUAGUUCCCACUGUGUCAGCUUCAGACCCAGCCAACACAAUUGCCAGUGCUACAUGGAGUGAGUCGCUUUGAGCCGCCUGAGGGAACUCAAAGGGCUUCUCACAGAAAAAAGCUUACGAUAGGACUGUGGCCUCAGCUGUGCGACCCUUUUUCCUGGCAAGCUAUGGCACUGGAUGAAACAUGAAGAUGCCCCUUGCGGGAGGGUAGGCUAGCACAAAAGCCAAAGAUGGAAGGAAAGUGGCCCUUACUUCUGUCUGCCAUUCAGGGGUCUAUCUCCCUGAACUACGGAUAUCCUAGCCUCAUGUAUGUGUUGUGUUAAUUGAGUACCAGCGCUCAGAGCAUUGGUUUGGAAAUUAGUGAUUCUGCGACUUUUCAAUUGUAUCACUUCGGGUAUUCACUUCAUCUCUCUGAGCCUUAAAUUUCUCAUCUAUAUGUUGUGGAUAGUCAUGCCUGUCUUGACUGCUUGGCCAAAUAAAAACUCAAGUUUUAAAUUCUGAAACCUUAGGGUUCAACAGCUGGGGAGGGAGUUUACAUGUUUUCUAAUGGAGCCGUUAUCUGCUGCAGGCAUUCAUUCCCCUCACCAGCAUCCUAGACAAAUAUCAUCCUCUUGAUUUGGUUGGAAUGCUGACAUGCCUGUGGAGCUGCCUUUGGGAGAUCUGAUUGUUAGAAACUUCUUCCUAUGCCCUCUAGUAACUUUUAUCUGUUUCGCCUCUGGACUCAACAAUAAAUUUCAUUCCUAAACUGU